GUGCCUAAUACAUGCAAGUAGAACGCUGAAGAGAAGAGCUUGCUCUUCUUGGAUGAGUUGCGAACGGGUGAGUAACGCGUAGGUAACCUGCCUGGUAGCGGGGGAUAACUAUUGGAAACGAUAGCUAAUACCGCAUAAAAUUGAUUAUUGCAUGAUAAUUAAUUGAAAGAUGCAAUUGCAUCACUACCAGAUGGACCUGCGUUGUAUUAGCUAGUUGGUGAGGUAACGGCUCACCAAGGCGACGAUACAUAGCCGACCUGAGAGGGUGAUCGGCCACACUGGGACUGAGACACGGCCCAGACUCCUACGGGAGGCAGCAGUAGGGAAUCUUCGGCAAUGGGGGGAACCCUGACCGAGCAACGCC
Molecule: ribosomal RNA, 364 nt
Filed under: Streptococcus sanguinis
Lineage: Bacteria; Bacillati; Bacillota; Bacilli; Lactobacillales; Streptococcaceae
Description: bacterial SSU rRNA
Rfam family: Bacterial small subunit ribosomal RNA
Source: RNAcentral